UACGUAGGGUGCAAGCGUUGUCCGGAAUUAUUGGGCGUAAAGAGCUCGUAGGCGUUUUGUCGCGUCUGCCGUGAAAGUCCGGGGCUCAACUCCGGAUCUGCGGUGGGUACGGGCAGACUAGAGUGAUGUAGGGGAGACUGGAAUUCCUGGUGUAGCGGUGAAAUGCGCAGAUAUCAGGAGGAACACCGAUGGCGAAGGCAGGUCUCUGGGCAUUAACUGACGCUGAGGAGCGAAAGCAUGGGGAGCGAACAGG
RNAcentral lists this ribosomal RNA (253 nucleotides) under uncultured bacterium. RNAcentral's name for it is "partial 16S ribosomal RNA". It matches the Rfam family "Bacterial small subunit ribosomal RNA", at positions 524 to 776 of the family's 1533-position model. The record is from RNAcentral.